RNAcentral lists this ribosomal RNA (452 nucleotides) under uncultured Nocardia sp. RNAcentral's name for it is "bacterial SSU rRNA". It matches the Rfam family "Bacterial small subunit ribosomal RNA", at positions 153 to 620 of the family's 1533-position model. Lineage: Bacteria; Bacillati; Actinomycetota; Actinomycetes; Mycobacteriales; Nocardiaceae. The record is from RNAcentral.
GAAACUGGGUCUAAUACCGGAUAUGACCUUACAUCGCAUGGUGUUUGGUGGAAAGAUUUAUCGGUACAGGAUGGGCCCGCGGCCUAUCAGCUUGUUGGUGGGGUAAUGGCCUACCAAGGCGACGACGGGUAGCCGGCCUGAGAGGGCGACCGGCCACACUGGGACUGAGACACGGCCCAGACUCCUACGGGAGGCAGCAGUGGGGAAUAUUGCACAAUGGGCGAAAGCCUGAUGCAGCGACGCCGCGUGAGGGAUGACGGCCUUCGGGUUGUAAACCUCUUUCGACAGGGACGAAGCGCAAGUGACGGUACCUGUAGAAGAAGCACCGGCCAACUACUGCCAGCAGCCGCGGUAAUACGUAGGGUGCGAGCGUUGUCCGGAAUUACUGGGCGUAAAGAGCUUGUAGGCGGUUUGUCGCGUCGUCCGUGAAAACUUGGGGCUCAACCCCAAGC